UCUUUCCUCCCGAGUGCUUGCACUCAAUUGGAAAGAGGAGUGGCGGACGGGUGAGUAACACGUGGGUAACCUACCCAUCAGAGGGGGAUAACACUUGGAAACAGGUGCUAAUACCGCAUAACAGUUUAUGCCGCAUGGCAUAAGAGUGAAAGGCGCUUUCGGGUGUCGCUGAUGGAUGGACCCGCGGUGCAUUAGCUAGUUGGUGAGGUAACGGCUCACCAAGGCCACGAUGCAUAGCCGACCUGAGAGGGUGAUCGGCCACACUGGGACUGAGACACGGCCCAGACUCCUACGGGAGGCAGCAGUAGGGAAUCUUCGGCAAUGGACGAAAGUCUGACCGAGCAACGCCGCGUGAGUGAAGAAGGUUUUCGGAUCGUAAAACUCUGUUGUUAGAGAAGAACAAGGACGUUAGUAACUGAACGUCCCCUGACGGUAUCUAACCAGAAAGCCACGGCUAACUACGUGCCAGCAGCCGCGGUAAUACGUAGGUGGCAAGCGUUGUCCGGAUUUAUUGGGCGUAAAGCGAGCGCAGGCGGUUUCUUAAGUCUGAUGUGAAAGCCCCCGGCUCAACCGGGGAGGGUCAUUGGAAACUGGGAGACUUGAGUGCAGAAGAGGAGAGUGGAAUUCCAUGUGUAGCGGUGAAAUGCGUAGAUAUAUGGAGGAACACCAGUGGCGAAGGCGGCUCUCUGGUCUGUAACUGACGCUGAGGCUCGAAAGCGUGGGGAGCAAACAGGAUUAGAUACCCUGGUAGUCCACGCCGUAAAGAUGAGUGCUAAGUGUUGGAGGGUUUCCGCCCUUCAGUGCUGCAGCAAACGCAUUAAGCACUCCGCCUGGGG
RNAcentral lists this ribosomal RNA (836 nucleotides) under Enterococcus faecalis. RNAcentral's name for it is "bacterial SSU rRNA". It matches the Rfam family "Bacterial small subunit ribosomal RNA", at positions 62 to 878 of the family's 1533-position model. Lineage: Bacteria; Bacillati; Bacillota; Bacilli; Lactobacillales; Enterococcaceae. The record is from RNAcentral.